Molecule: ribosomal RNA, 437 nt
Filed under: uncultured bacterium
Lineage: Bacteria
Description: partial 16S ribosomal RNA
Rfam family: Bacterial small subunit ribosomal RNA
Source: RNAcentral
GAUGAACGCUGGCGGCAUGCUUAACACAUGCAUGUCGAACGGGAAGUGGUGUUUCCAGUGGCGAACGGGUGAGUAACGCGUAAGAACCUGCCCUUGGGAGGGGAACAACAACUGGAAACGGUUGCUAAUACCCCGUAGGCUGAGGAGCAAAAGGAGAAAUCCGCCCAAGGAGGGGCUCGCGUCUGAUUAGCUAGUUGGUGAGGUAAUAGCUUACCAAGGCGAUGAUCAGUAGCUGGUCCGAGAGGAUGAUCAGCCACACUGGGACUGAGACACGGCCCAGACUCCUACGGGAGGCAGCAGUGGGGAAUGUUCCGCAAUGGGCGAAAGCCUGACGGAGCAAUGCCGCGUGGAGGUGGAAGGCCUACGGGUCGUCAACUUCUUUUCUCGGAGAAGAAACAAUGACGGUAUCUGAGGAAUAAGCAUCGGCUAACUCUGUG